Molecule: non-coding RNA, 248 nt
Organism: Paramuricea clavata
Lineage: Eukaryota; Metazoa; Cnidaria; Anthozoa; Malacalcyonacea; Plexauridae
Source: the annotation of a GenBank genome assembly
AACAAGUUUGGAACAAGCCGUUAACAAACUGUAACAUUGUUGUUGACAUUACCAGACUUGUUGCAAGGUUGUUCCAACACGUCCAAUGCAGUCAUGAUACAACAAUGUUGUUACAAUCUUGUGUCGUCAACCUUGUAACAUUCUUGUUAUAUCAUGACUGUAUCAGACUUGUUAAAACAACUUUGUAACAAGUCUGAUAGUGCCAUCAAGCUUGUUACAAGUUGUUAACAGCUUGUUCCAAACUUGUU